GGUGGUGGUCAUGACUCAUGGGGUUGUGUACUAUUUAGAGAGUGAGUGGGAGAGAGAAGAAAAAUCUUUGCUUGGCUUGACUUGGCUUGGCUUGAGAGUGUUUGAGAUAAAGGGCAUGUGAGAAAGAGCAAAAAGCUCUCAACUUCACUGCCAACUCUUGUCCUGAACCCCAUAAAACACAGUGAGGGGGCAGUGAGGCAAUUGAUGGUUCUUCUGAUCUUUGCAUCUGCAACCAUAUUAUAAAGAAGGCGGUGGUUUGGCUUUUGUAGUAAGUUGACUGCCAUUGUGUUUGAAGUGAGAAACUUGUCUUCAGAGAGAGUAACCAAAGAAGAGAGUUUAUCCUUUCAUGGGAAUAUGAGAAAGAAACAUACUGAGCCACCACCCAUGUCAAGUUGGUAGGUACUGCUUGUGUGUGUGGUUGAGAAAGAAACUUUACUUGUAAUAGGAGUGAGAAAGAUGGCUAGUGGAGAAUAGAGAGAGAGAGAGAGAAAGACAGAGAGAGACACUCAACUGACAACAAAAAUUGGAUUUUUUAGGGAUAGGCUAGUUUGUUGUGGAACAAAGUAGCAAUCUUUUCACUCAUGGAUGGUUACGAAGCUACGAGGAUAGUGUUUUCAAGGAUCCAAAACUUGGACCCUGAAAAUGCUUCAAAAAUCAUGGGUCUGCUUCUGAUUCAAGACCAUGGUGAGAAGGAAAUGAUUAGGUUAGCAUUUGGACCAGAAGCCCUAGUUCACUCUGUGAUUGUGAAAGCUCGCAAGGACUUGGGAUUACCCUCUAACUCGCCGCCAACACCCUCAACUCCUCCUUCUCCGUCUCCUUUCCUUUCAAGACAAAAUUCCAUUUCUUCAAGGCUUAGUGGUAUUAACCUUCCUCCUGCUCUCACUAUCCCAAACCCUUCUUCUAGUUCAGCUUCUUGGGCUACUAUGUCUGAGCUUCAAAACCCUGAAGAUUUGAUGAGCCCUAACAAUUUGGUUGUUGGUUCUUCAACUUCAUCUUCCUUGCCCUUCUAUGCUAACGGAGGAGGCUCAGAUCCAAUUGAUGAAUUCCAACUUCAAGACCAGCUUUCUUUCUUGAAUGAUGGUUCUCCUACUCUUGGCCACAAGAACCUUGAUUUGUUUUACCCUCACUCUGACUUGUCUUCUAGUCCUACUACUGGUGCUGCUGACCCUUCUCUCUUUCCUUCUUAUGGUUGGGGAGGGUCUCUUCACCGCAGGAGUUGCUCUGUCAAUGAUGCUUGUUUGGGUUCUGAGGACCCUAAUUCUGGGCUUGGAUGGAAGCCUUGCCUUUACUUUGCUAGAGGGUACUGUAAGAAUGGCACUAGUUGCAGGUUCCUUCAUGGAGGAGGACUUGGAGAUGCUGCUGAUGGUGCUGCAAUGGUUGGGUCUCCUAGCAAACUUGAGAUGAUGGAUCAGUGCCAUGAACUCUUCAGAUCUAAAUCUGUUCAACAACAAAGAUUAGCUGCAGCUUCUCAGCUCAUGGCAUCUUCCUCUUUUCCAUACUCCCCAAAGUGCAUGAAUUUCCUGUUACAGCAGCAGCAAAAUGAUACUCAAAGAGCGGCAGCUGCAGCUCUGAUGAUGAAUGAGGAUUUGCACAAAUUUGGAAGAUCCAGGCUUGAAAGAAAUGAUUUUUCUUUGAACAGUCCUGGAAUGAUUAACCCAGCUUCUAGGCAGAUCUACUUGACCUUCCCAGCAGAUAGCACUUUCAGAGAGGAAGAUGUUUCAAAUUACUUCAGCAUUUAUGGUCCUGUUCAAGACGUGAGGAUCCCAUACCAGCAGAAGCGUAUGUUUGGGUUUGUUACAUUUGUUUAUCCGGAGACUGUGAAGCUCAUUCUAUCUAAAGGGAACCCUCAUUUCGUGUGUGAUGCUAGAGUGCUUGUUAAGCCUUACAAGGAGAAGGGCAAAGUCCCAGACAAGUACAGGAAGCAGCAGCAGCAGGUAGAUAGGGGAGAUUUUUCACCUUGUGGUACUCCACCAGGACUAGAUGCUAGAGACCAAUACGAUCUUCAACUUGGAGGAAGAAUGUUCUACAAUACUCAAGACAUGCUGUGGAGGAGGAAGUUGGAAGAGCAAGCUGAUUUGCAGCAAGCCCUCGAGCUCCAAAGUAGGAGGUUGAUGGGUCUGCAACUUCUUGAUAUCAAAAAGCAACACCAGCGUGCACUUUCAACUGGAAGUCCAAUUCCUUCCCCCACCCACUCUCCAAAUAUGUUCAACCAAAAUCUUGUUCUUCCUUCGUUUCACACCAGCUCAGAGGCCCCAGAGGAGAGUGGUUCAAGUUCUGGUCCAACUAGUACUGCAUCAGUUUCUGUUGGUCAGCAGCCAGUCAACAUUUCAGUUGGCAAGGAAGUGAUGGUCAAAGAAGAGAAUGGAUAUAGCGAAGGAAAUGGCAAGCAGAGUUCCAGUCAUGAAGACCGUGAUUUGCAAGAAUGUUUGGAGCAUAAUCUCCCUGAUAGCCCUUUUGCUUCCCCCACUAAAGCUGCUGCUGGAGAAUACAUGUCUUCCUUCUCAAGUGGACCUAAUGAGGUCACUGAUUCAGAUGCAUCAGCUGCAUCUGCCAACUCUAAAUUUGGUACUAAUAAUACAUUACUUCCAACAGCAUCAUCUCUAGACAUGGGGUCUUUCAAAUCCUUUAACUGCCAAAUACCAAGGUUCUCUUCUGGCCAUGGAACUAUUGGGAUGUUCGCAGGCACCGGUGGACCAAUUGGUAUUUAGUUUCCUGAGGUUCAGGAAGUGAAGAUGGACCAUACAAACCUGUAGAGAAUCACCACCACCACCACCACUAAGAAGGCCAUCACCAUCAAUCAUAAUACUAUACUACUUACUACCAUACAAAAUGCAUACGUAAAAAGCAGUUCAGUAAAGGAAGUGGGGCAGGCAUUGCAUUCCCUUUCUUUUGUUAGCAUUAUUGUACCAUUUUCUUAUUCUCAUAUCUGUAGUAGCUGAACCACAGGUAAAAAAUAACACAGAAAGAAUCAGAGUCAACGUGUAGUAGGGAACUCCUGGCACUCUGGAGCAUUACCCAGAGAAAGAGCAUUUGCACAGAUGGAAGUGGUAAAACAGUAAAUGCAGAGAGUUGUAUAACUACAAGGCUGAUGAUUCAAAUCCCCCACAUAAUGGUUAAUUUAAGUUUGAAAGGCCAGGAGUGAGGAGAGGAGGGGAAUAUGCAUAAUUGUUAAUCUUAGCUUGGGUUAAAGUUGAAAGUUGAGAUUUUUACCUUGGGAUGUUUAUGUUGCAGUUAAGUUUGUACUUGUACUACUACACAGUUAUCAACCCUCCCUUAUAUUGCCAGACAGAAAAGAGAAAGAUUUAGAAAGAAGAAUCAAAAGUUGAGUUUUUUAGGCUAAUUGGUCUUUACUAUUUGCCUCUCCCCCUUAUGUGCUUUUUGAUUUUAAUGGAGAAUUUGUCUCUUUGUUCCUGCAAUAAUUUUUUCCCUUUCAAUUUUGUAAAUUGGUGGGGUUUGUCUAUUUUUUGCCAUUAUUAAGGCACACCAUCACAUGGGGUAGCUGACACUGCAAGUGGGCCAUACACAUUUAUAUAAUGCCAGCUUGUGUAUGGGUCCUACCCACCAGUACCUACCCAUGUGAGUGAUGCCACUUUCUCUUUCAUUGAUAUAUAUCAACCCUACUACCCUUUAGCUUCUCUUUCAUGAUAGGAAAGGACAUUGCUCAGAUCUAAAAGUAGGAGUAGAUGCCCACACGUAUGACAAAAGUAGCCAGUUACUGGAAUCUUUUGGGUUCUGUGGUCUUAUGAAUGUGUAUGUGUGUGUGUGUCAGAG
This is an RNA transcript of Gastrolobium bilobum, 3771 nucleotides long. It is a transcript of the gene named zinc finger CCCH domain-containing protein 53-like, with no coding region annotated. The record is from RefSeq and is a predicted model, not a curated record. The transcript has 11 exons. Lineage: Eukaryota; Viridiplantae; Streptophyta; Magnoliopsida; Fabales; Fabaceae.